GACGAACGCUGGCGGCGUGCUUAACACAUGCAAGUCGAACGGAAAGGCCCUGCUUUUGUGGGGUGCUCGAGUGGCGAACGGGUGAGUAACACGUGAGUAACCUGCCCUUGACUUUGGGAUAACUUCAGGAAACUGGGGCUAAUACCGGAUAGGAGCUCCUGCUGCAUGUUGGGGGUUGGUAAGUUUCGGCGGUUGGGGAUGGACUCGCGGCUUAUCAGCUUGUUGGUGGGGUAGUGGCUUACCAAGGCUUUGACGGGUAGCCGGCCUGGGAGGGUGACCGGCCACAUUGGUACUGAGAUACGGACCAGACGCCUACGGGAGGCAGCAGUGGGGAAUAUUGCGCAAUGGGCGGAAGCCUGUUGCAGCAACGCCGCGUGCGGGAUGACGUCCUUCGAGUUGUAAACCGCUUUCGCCUGUGACGAAGCGUUAGUGACGGUAAUGAGUAAAGAAGCACCGGCUAACUACGUG
RNAcentral lists this ribosomal RNA (468 nucleotides) under uncultured bacterium. RNAcentral describes it as "partial 16S ribosomal RNA". It matches the Rfam family "Bacterial small subunit ribosomal RNA", at positions 28 to 507 of the family's 1533-position model. The record is from RNAcentral.